RNAcentral lists this ribosomal RNA (253 nucleotides) under uncultured bacterium. RNAcentral's name for it is "partial 16S ribosomal RNA". It matches the Rfam family "Bacterial small subunit ribosomal RNA", at positions 524 to 776 of the family's 1533-position model. The record is from RNAcentral.
GACGUAGGGUGCAAGCGUUAUCCGGAAUUACUGGGCGUAAAGCGCACGUAGGCGGCUUUGUAAGUUAGAGGUGAAAGCCCGGGGCUCAACUCCGGAAUUGCCUUUAAGACUGCAUCGCUCGAAUUGUGGAGAGGUAAGUGGAAUUCCGAGUGUAGAGGUGAAAUUCGUAGAUAUUCGGAAGAACACCAGUGGCGAAGGCGACUUACUGGACACAUAUUGACGCUGAGGUGCGAAAGCGUGGGGAGCAAACAGG